Acyrthosiphon pisum (pea aphid) is the source of this 1160-nucleotide long non-coding RNA. RefSeq lists it as uncharacterized. The transcript has 3 exons. The record is from RefSeq and is a predicted model, not a curated record. Lineage: Eukaryota; Metazoa; Arthropoda; Insecta; Hemiptera; Aphididae.
UAAUAAUUAAUAACUUUUAUAGCGAUCGGAGCUGGUAAGCGUAGCGAGCGACUACUGCAGUCUACUAUUGUUAUACUUUUAUAUUACUAUAUUAGUAUAUUACAUUAUAAUAUGUGCUGAUCUAAAAAAAUCAAAUAUUGUUAAAGGUACGGUGCUUGGUGGUAAAGCAUAACGUUGUGCACAUGCGUAAAAACAGAAAAUCGCAAACUUCGGAAGGAUAAAGAAUGAUGAUUUCUGCACAUUUAUACCAUCGUUCUUAACUCGUUGAAAUAGGUACAUGUUCCAAAAACUAAAAAAAUCUGAAAAAUGGGUGAAAAUUAAAAGUGAUUCACCAAACAUGCUCAACAAAUUGUUCUUCUUCAAUAUACCAGUUAUUUACAAAUGGUUACACAGGGUGUAAUAUUUGGUAUUGGUGAAUCACAGUGUACAGCACUACAGCAUCAUAAAAUUGAGGCUGAAUUCAAAUUCAACACAUACGGUUACCUCAAGGCUCGAAACUCAAAACCUACUAUAUAGCAGAGCAACUUCUCCGGAUUUUUAAUUUGUGUUAUGGACAUCAUGGAAUUAGGAUAACAAAGGCACGUAAUGUGUGGAAGCGUAUUUAACCUUGUACUAAAUGUUCAAAUCUUAAAAUUAGAAUAGACAAUUUUAUGUAUUUCUAUUUAUAUAAUACUAAAAUAAAUAGUCGACUAAAAUAUAAUUAUUACUCUAACCCAACUAUAGUUGAUCUAACCAACUAGAUAAAACGUCUGAACUAUAAACAAAUUUUAGACUAGCUAAAUUACUAGUAUAAGAAUACAAAGCAAAGGCUAUGCUCAGAAAAUCUGAACUCAAUAAUUUGUUUUGUGUCUGUGAGCUUGAUACUUCUGGAAUACAGAUGCUUAUAGUAAAAUAUAAUAUACACGUGGACAUGGGUCAUGACGCAUAAUUGUGUUGCAUAUAUGUACAAUAUCAGGCACUCUUUAUUCCGUCACUUAAGUUGGAUUUAUACUUUUUUGAUUAUAAAUAAAAUGAAAUAAAAUUUCAAUUCAUAAUAAUUUAAUAUACGAUCAUCGAUGAUAGAAAGGUUGUAAUUUAGGUGUUCAAUUAUUAUGCUUCAUAAAAAUUAAAAAAAUGUAUUCUAAUUAUUUCAUUUACAGACAAAAAAAUAAAAAAUAUUU